RNAcentral lists this long non-coding RNA (2321 nucleotides) under Fragaria vesca (wild strawberry). Its description in RNAcentral is "long non-coding RNA (FVES_LNC003064)". Lineage: Eukaryota; Viridiplantae; Streptophyta; Magnoliopsida; Rosales; Rosaceae. The record is from RNAcentral.
ACGAAAAUAGGUAUGGUUUGCCAAAUUGUUUCGAGAAUUUUGAGUAGAACAAAGUUGUGACACACAGAAAAUCACUGCACUCUCCAAGUCCCGAACCAAGUACGUACACAGAUCACAAACACACACAAAUGAUGAAAUGCACAUUCCCGAAACCCUUUCUCUAACAAACACAAAGAUGGGAACACACUGUAAUCACUUACCCGUGAUCCAAAAUUCCAAGUGCAUCAUGUGCCAUUGGUGCUUUGGUCACAUUUUAGCUUUGCAUGGAACAAGUGCACUAAACUAAUCACCACACGUAACACACUCCUCAAACCCUAUUUUCCACGUGGCAACUCCAAGCUGCACACCCACGACACGUAUGAGAUCAAACAUAAAAACAUAUUCAAAUUCAAAAAUCCUUAUCCACCAUUCAAAUCCAAAAUUCCAAUCCUUCCGCCACACUCUUUCUCCUUUUUCUUUCUGUGUCUUUAUAUAUGGGUCUGUUUCAGAUCUCUGAUCUCAUAGACUGAGAGAGAGAGAGAGAGAGAGAGAGAGAGAGAGAGAGAUCAAUAGUAAUCAAUAGUAAGAAGCAUAUAUGGGGCUGAGGAUCGUUUACGGAGUUCUGUUCCUGUCAUUUUCAUGUGCAGCCAUCAAGCUCCUCCACCUUAUGCUCCACCCUGUAUUCUACUUCACCACCUGAGAAACUUUUUCGAAUCUGCAGCAGGUGAAAUGGGUUAGUCAGAAACGUAUACUUAGACUUCUUUUGGGAUGUAUACGCAAUAGGGUUUCGUUUAAUUCUCUUAUUGUGAGUGUUCGCUGUUGUAAAGAUAUGUAUUGUAAUGAUUGAAUGCUGGUCAUGAUGAUAUGUUAAGUGGGGUUGAAUUUGUGUGGUUGUUGAUUUGGUUUUGGUGUAUUGCCGUGGGAUUCAAUGUGCAACACUGUUUUCCAGAGUUUGUGUUCUAAUUGCUUACUGUUUUUUUACGUUUUCAUAUAUUCUUUUUCAUGUGGAUUCUGGUGCUUGAACUUUCUGAAAUGGUGGGUGUGGAUCAUGAGGCAUGAAUCUUAUGAUCGUUAGGGUAGAAUUCAUUGACGCCAGUACAUUCAAUCUUGACGGAUCGGUUUGCUCUCGACCGAUUGCUGACCCAUCUGUAGAAAACGUUAAGCAACAAAGCCAAUCUCAUCUAGUCUUGGUUAAUUUUGGUUGAUGGUGAUGGAUUCUGGCGAGUGGAUUAAUGGGUUUCGACAUAUUCCUAAUAAAUUGGGUAUCAGCAAGCAACAAUAUACAUUGAUCACCCGUUCAGGGUGUUCAAAAUUGUUUCAUUGUGAAGAAACAUGGGGAAAGAAAAGAGCUACGCUCAACCACGUGCAUGUGUCACGUAUUACCCAGCUAGAGAUUUUUUUUUAGUUUUUUCCAAUCUUUUCCACAAGCAACCGCUUUUCCUUUUUGUGCUGGGUAAAUUGUAAUAAUAUUCUUUCCCGAUUGUUUAGCAAAGACUUUGUCUCAGCUUUAGUAGCUAGGAAACCGUUUAGGAUCCAGUAAAGAAAUUAUCUAUAUAAAGUGGUCUUCACCGUUUAUUCUCAAAAGAAUUCUCAAAACAGUUUGUGUUUAAAACUUUGCUAAGUGAGAUUAAUCAAGAGCAACAAGUGGAAGAUGGCUGUAGAUAAGAAGCAAGACUGUUCGUCGUGUCCACCAGCUCCAAAAAAAGAACCAACCUUCUUCGAGGUACAAUGACUCGUUUGGAGGACAAAAUUUAAAUACGAAUUUCAACCAAGAAGACCGUAGGUGUCCAUCAGCUUAAAAAAGAACCAACCUUCUUCAAGGUACAAUGUCGACUCAUUAGGAGGACAAAAUUUGAAUACGAAAUUCAACCAAUAAGAACGGAUCAAAGGAGUUGAUAGUUAGAGGAUAUGGUAUUAUAACAAUUUGAUUUGUUUUGCUUUGAGCUUUUGAUAUCUUUAUGUUUACAUGUUUCUCUAGCUAUGUAUAUGUAUGACCAGUUUGUGUUUAGUGAUGGAAGAGAUAAUUCUACUACAAAUAUUCUAUUAGGGCAACUUCAACCAUAGUCUUGGAUUUGGAGUCCUAUAUCAAUUAUAGGACCUCUUUGUUGCACUAUUCAUUUAGGACUCAUUUUCUCAUCUCCAACAAUGAGUCCUAUAUGAGGUCUUAUAUUCACUUUUGUUGAUUAAAACAAGUUAUAGGUGGUAUAUUUAUGAAUAUUAUAUUAAAUAAUAUGUUAAUAACCUUAUUAAGUUAAUAAAACUUCACAAUUUUUAUUUUUAUCACAAAAUUUUAAAUUAUUUUUAUAAUUAAAUAUAAUAAUUUUAAUUAAAAAACUAAAUAC